UACAGAGGGUGCAAGCGUUAAUCGGAAUUACUGGGCGUAAAGCGUGCGUAGACGGUUACAUAAGUCGGGUGUGAAAGCCCCGGGCUCAACCUGGGAAUUGCAUUCGAGACUGCGUAGCUAGGGUGCGGAAGAGGGAAGCGGAAUUUCCGGUGUAGCGGUGAAAUGCGUAGAUAUCGGAAGGAACACUAGUGGCGAAAGCGGCUUCCUGGUCCAGCACCGACGUUCAGGCACGAAAGCGUGGGGAGCAAACAGG
Molecule: ribosomal RNA, 253 nt
Filed under: uncultured bacterium
Lineage: Bacteria
Description: partial 16S ribosomal RNA
Rfam family: Bacterial small subunit ribosomal RNA
Source: RNAcentral